Long non-coding RNA from Mauremys reevesii (Reeves's turtle), 738 nucleotides. RefSeq lists it as uncharacterized. The record is from RefSeq and is a predicted model, not a curated record. NCBI's taxonomy places the organism in Eukaryota, Metazoa, Chordata, Testudines, Geoemydidae. The transcript has 4 exons.
UUAUAUAGAGGCAAUAUGAUAUUUUCUGUCUUAUUAUCUAUCCCUUUCUUAAUGAUUCCCAACAUUCUGUUUGCUUUUUUGACUGCCGCUGCACAUUGAGUGGAUGAUUUCAGAGAACGAGAACCGGAGGAAAGCAUCCUGAACUGAGAAGGCAAAAGAGGCCAUGUCACUGCCUGCACUGCUGUAACCCAAUGUGGACCAGAGAAGCCUCUGAGGAACUUGGGAGAGCUCUAACCAAGCGAGGCGAGUGGGCAGCAUUGACAAAUGCAAGGCUGCCAUGCCUGCAGGCCUCCCCCUGAAGCUGAUCUCUGAGUAACUCUUCUGCAGAGGAUUGACCACCGAUGUACAAAGGCGGAACUGCGCUGUGCAGCUUAUCUACAUGCACCCACAGCAGCUGUCACUUUUGUCGAGCAAGUUAAUCAAGCAAAUGCCACCAUAUCCCACUUUCUAUAAGGAACAACAUGUUAUAGACAGUAGUCUUGGGAGAGAGAGAGAGAGGGAGGGAGAGAGACUUUAUUUUAACUUUGAUUAGCUCGAAUUUUUUUCUGUGUGUGUGUGUGUGCGCGUUUUCAACCAACUGCACAAGCCAACACUUUUGUCUUCACCCAGUACAAAUAUUUAAUAUUAUUUUAAGUGUAAUUUGCACUAUUGGGAGGGCUGUCCAGUUUUAAUUAAAUUGAAAGGACUUAGGGACAGGGUUCAAGAAAAAGAGAAAUGGAAGCUUUGUGUGUGUGUUAA